RNAcentral lists this ribosomal RNA (425 nucleotides) under uncultured bacterium. RNAcentral describes it as "bacterial SSU rRNA". It matches the Rfam family "Bacterial small subunit ribosomal RNA", at positions 1 to 427 of the family's 1533-position model. The record is from RNAcentral.
GCCCUUAGAGUUUGAUCAUGGCUCAGAUUGAACGCUGGCGGAAUGCUUUACACAUGCAAGUCGAACGGCAGCACGGGAGCUUGCUCCUGGUGGCGAGUGGCGAACGGGUGAGUAAUGCGUCGGAACGUACCGAGUAAUGGGGGAUAACGCAGCGAAAGCUGUGCUAAUACCGCAUACGCCCUGAGGGGGAAAGCAGGGGAUCGCAAGACCUUGCGUUAUUCGAGCGGCCGACGUCUGAUUAGCUAGUUGGUGGGGUAAAGGCCUACCAAGGCGACGAUCAGUAGCGGGUCUGAGAGGAUGAUCCGCCACACUGGAACUGAGACACGGUCCAGACUCCUACGGGAGGCAGCAGUGGGGAAUUUUGGACAAUGGGGGGAACCCUGAUCCAGCCAUUCCGCGUGAGUGAAGAAGGCCUUCGGGUUGUA